Long non-coding RNA from Magnolia sinica, 1143 nucleotides. RefSeq lists it as uncharacterized. The transcript has 3 exons. The record is from RefSeq and is a predicted model, not a curated record. NCBI's taxonomy places the organism in Eukaryota, Viridiplantae, Streptophyta, Magnoliopsida, Magnoliales, Magnoliaceae.
GAUUAAAUGCGUUAUUGGCUUUCUACGGUUCAGUAAGAAGCAUGUGUUCAGAGGAUGAUGAUAUUGAUGAAGUCAGUUCUGAGCAUGAAAGGACUGUUACAAAUGAACGAGCAAUGGAAUAGGCUAAGGUUUGGGUACGUUUAGAAAGAAGAGGUGACAAAGGAGUAACCCUUGGGGAGAUGUGGCUGGAUGUGCAUCCCCUGUUUUGGGUUCUGCAAUGGUUAUUCCCCGUGAUUCGCGUAAUCCUACUAAUCCUUAGAAAUUUGAGCUUGCAGUAUAUCCUGAUCCCAGGUAUCAUGGAGCACAAUUCUGUUUUCUAUUUGAAUUUUCUAAAUCUACAUAUUAUUCCAACAUUUUGAGUCAUAUGUUGCAUAGACACUUGAAAAAAGGGAAAGCACGAAACUUACUGCUUUGAAUCUGUAAAUGGUUGUGAGAGUUUUGGAAAUUUUCAAUUAAUUUUGAAAUGGAAAAUUUCAAUAUUGAUACUGUAUAGUUUUUUCUUUUUAUAGAAGUUUAUAUAUUUUUUAUUUAGUCGUAAUUUCUCUGCAGAUCAAUUUAGUAAUUAAAUUCUGCAUAGCUGAUCACAAUCUUAGAACCAACAAAGAGAAAAUCAAGCAUGGCUUUAGUUCAAACUAAGAACUGAAAGUGGGGUGGAUUUACUCAAACUUGCACCAAUUUUCAAGUGAAAGAUAUAUCAGCUUGUUGCAGCCUACACUAGUCUAGUCUAGAAUGCAAAUAAUAGCUCUUUCUGUACUUUUAAGAAGUGCCACAUUCUAUGCUAGUUCUUUUUAAAUUUAAAUUUACACAGUAAUUAAUAGUCAUUCAGGUCAGCUCCAUCAUUUCUCUAAUUUAUUGAGGUCUCUUGAUGAAUUAACAGAUUGCCCAGCCUCAUACAGUUUUUAAGCUUGGAAGGCUAAUAUUGAGGAACCAGAUUUUAACUAGUUUUUAAGCUUAUAUGUAUUUAUGCAUGUAUGAAUGUGAUAUGGAUAAGAUUGUUUGUGUUUGGAUGAAUGUAAUUUAUGUUUGGAUGGAUUUACUAGUUUGGGUUUAGAUGGAUGUGAAUGUGAAUAUGAUGAAAUAUAUUAUAUAACAGUUGUAUAUCAGGAUGAAUAUCAUGAAAUAUAUUGUAACAGGUGUAUAUCA